GUUGAGGUGGCCGAGUUGUUAAGGCGAUGGACUUGAAAUCCAAUGGGAUCUUCCCGCGCAGGUUCAAAUCCUGCUCGCAACG
This 82-nucleotide transfer RNA is filed under the name Nematostella vectensis (starlet sea anemone). It matches the Rfam family "tRNA". Rfam says of the family: Transfer RNA (tRNA) molecules are approximately 80 nucleotides in length. The record is from Rfam by way of RNAcentral. Lineage: Eukaryota; Metazoa; Cnidaria; Anthozoa; Actiniaria; Edwardsiidae.